Molecule: ribosomal RNA, 301 nt
Filed under: uncultured bacterium
Lineage: Bacteria
Description: partial 16S ribosomal RNA
Rfam family: Bacterial small subunit ribosomal RNA
Source: RNAcentral
CAGCAGCCACGGUAAUACGUAGGUGGCAAGCGUUGUCCGGAAUUAUUGGGCGUAAAGGGCUCGCAGGCGGUUUCUUAAGUCUGAUGUGAAAGCCCCCGGCUCAACCGGGGAGGGUCAUUGGAAACUGGGAAACUUGAGUGCAGAAGAGGAGAGUGGAAAUCCACGUGUAGCGGUGAAAUGCGUAGAGAUGUGGAGGAACACCAGUGGCGAAGGCGACUCUCUGGUCUGUAACUGACGCUGAGGAGCGAAAGCGUGGGGAGCGAACAGGAUUAGAUACCCCAGUAGUCCCUGUCUCUUAUAC